CGUAAAGCCCGUAUCCCAUAAAGUAAUGGCGUGGACUUGGUAUUUUUUUGACCCAUCAUUUUGAUGGAUCAGCCCUACCUGACCUGUCAAACUCAAAGCCUCAAAGCCUGUGUAGACUAACCUGAAUGGGUUAAGCCGACCCGUAUUGACAGCUUUAUGCAGGACAGUAAACAAGACAGUAGAAAUCUAAUGCAUUUUCUGUAUGAUCAUCGUCAAUAAACAUGCUCCUUUGUACAUUGUUAGAGCUGUUGGUCUUGCCAAUAUAGUUUGACAUCUUUUGAUGGUUGAUAUUUCUUUUCGAUAAAACAGUUCUUUUGUAGAAGAUGAUGUAAUUGCCAUGUUUCUCCUUCAAAAAUGUUGUUUUCAUGGUUUGAGAAAUGAAGUCAUG
This 388-nucleotide long non-coding RNA is filed under the name Capsicum annuum. RNAcentral describes it as "long non-coding RNA (CANN_LNC021815)". Lineage: Eukaryota; Viridiplantae; Streptophyta; Magnoliopsida; Solanales; Solanaceae. The record is from RNAcentral.